UAGGGGUGUUCACUCAGUCGGUGGCGAUCAAGUUUCUCGUGUUCGUGCAUAUAAGGCAGUGUAGACUUGCCUGCCAGAUAGCAACUAUGUAAAUAUGUGAAAAAAAUAUUUAUCAACCUACGCCGAAUGUAUUUUUUCAGGGUGAGCUUUAUUUAUAUUGUAAGAUCGUCAACUAACACCAACUGCAUCUUUUCCUAUGCCCUGGUGCAAUGUUUACAAUCUAAAGGCCAUGGUCUUCUGGGCAUUGCGUCAGCAUUUGCAUGGAUUUUCCCCGCACGAUGUUCAACUGUAAACAUCCAGAAACCGUUGGUGUUGGUGUUGAAUCCAGAAACCUUGGCGGCCACCGAAUAUUUCAAUUAUCUGAAGUUCACAGAUUAU
Long non-coding RNA from Harmonia axyridis, 378 nucleotides. RefSeq lists it as uncharacterized. The record is from RefSeq and is a predicted model, not a curated record. The transcript is spliced from 3 exons. NCBI's taxonomy places the organism in Eukaryota, Metazoa, Arthropoda, Insecta, Coleoptera, Coccinellidae.